Small nucleolar RNA from Nycticebus coucang (slow loris), 103 nucleotides. RefSeq annotates it as small nucleolar RNA U13. The record is from RefSeq and is a predicted model, not a curated record. The transcript has a single exon. Lineage: Eukaryota; Metazoa; Chordata; Mammalia; Primates; Lorisidae.
AUCCUGUUGUAGUUCACUAGAGUGAUGAUUGGGUUUUCGUGCUCAUGUGUGACACGCACUCCCUGAAACCUUGUUAUGAAGUCAGCAUAUCAUCCCUCUGAUG